UACGUAGGUGGCAAGCGUUGUCCGGAUUUAUUGGGUUUAAAGGGUGCGUAGGCGGCUUUGUAAGUCAGUGGUGAAAUAUGGCAGCUCAACUGUCAGGGUGCCAUUGAUACUGCGGAGCUUGAGUACAGAUGAGGUAAGUGGAAUUUCAGGUGUAGCGGUGAAAUGCGUAGAUAUCUGAAGGAACAUCAGUGGCGAAAGCGACUUCCUGGACCAAUACUGACGCUCAUGUGCGAAAGCGUGGGGAGCAAACAGG
This 253-nucleotide ribosomal RNA is filed under the name uncultured bacterium. RNAcentral's name for it is "partial 16S ribosomal RNA". It matches the Rfam family "Bacterial small subunit ribosomal RNA", at positions 524 to 776 of the family's 1533-position model. The record is from RNAcentral.